RNAcentral lists this ribosomal RNA (320 nucleotides) under uncultured eukaryote. RNAcentral's name for it is "partial 18S ribosomal RNA". It matches the Rfam family "Eukaryotic small subunit ribosomal RNA", at positions 1470 to 1796 of the family's 1831-position model. The record is from RNAcentral.
CCCCUAGAUGUUCUGGGCCGCACGCGCGCUACACUGAACAGUUCAACAAGUCUUAACCUUGGCCGAUAGGUCUGGGUAAUCUUUGAGCGCUGUUCGUGAUUGGGAUAGACCUUUGCAAUUAUGGGUCUUCAACGAGGAAUUCCUAGUAAACGCAAGUCAUCAGCUUGCAUUGAUUACGUCCCUGCCCUUUGUACACACCGCCCGUCGCACCUACCGAUUGAAUGGUCCGGUGAAAUCUCGGGACGGCGGCUUGGUCGCUUGCGUCCGACUGCUGAAACUUGAUUAAACCAUAUCAUUUAGAGGAAGGUGAANUCGUAACA